Molecule: ribosomal RNA, 460 nt
Filed under: uncultured bacterium
Lineage: Bacteria
Description: partial 16S ribosomal RNA
Rfam family: Bacterial small subunit ribosomal RNA
Source: RNAcentral
CCUACGGGUGGCAGCAGUGAGGAAUAUUGGUCAAUGGCCGGAAGGCUGAACCAGCCAUGCCGCGUGCAGGUCAGUGCCCUAUGGGCGUUAAACUUCUUUUGUGCGGGAGCAAUAAUGGUCACGUGUGGCCAGACGAGAGUACCGUACGCAUAAGCAUCGGCUAACUCCGUGCCAGCAGCGGCGGUAAUACGCGGGAUGCAAGCGUUAUCCGGAUUUAUUGGGUUUAAAGGGUGCGUAGGCUGUGAGGUAAGUCAGCGGUGAAAUGCCCCGGCUCAACGGGGUGAAGUGCCAUUGAUACUGGCAUGCUGGAUUGCGAAUGCCGUGGGAGGAAUGUGUGGUGAAGCGGUGAAAUGCAUAGAUAUCACACAGAACACCGAUUGCGAAGGCAUCUCACGAAUCCGAGAUUGACGCUGAUGGACGAAAGCGUGGGUAUCAAACAGGAUUAGAUACCCGGGUAGUC